RNAcentral lists this ribosomal RNA (26 nucleotides) under Aphyllophorales sp. WRCF-B4. Its description in RNAcentral is "partial 28S ribosomal RNA". Lineage: Eukaryota; Fungi; Basidiomycota; Agaricomycetes; Polyporales. The record is from RNAcentral.
UUGACCUCAAAUCANGGGGGACUACC